GUUUCUCUCAGCAACACUGAAAACAUCUGUUUCUAGACUUUGAUAGUUGUUGGGGCUGGGACAUAUGCACAGAACUUCACAGGAAUCUGUUAGUCUAAUGCUUUAGAAAUGCUUAGCAAGCCCGAAAGAAUUAAACUAAUUAGUCAGAUCAGGACAUCUUGGGCAUUUCCCUUUAUUCAAAGUUGUAGAGACACUUAAAAUUCCGGGAAAGGGGAUUCAAAUAGGAAUUUAAGUCAAAAACCAAAUAACUCAUGGUGGGUUUACAAGUCAUUAUUCUAGUUAGACUCUUCAUCCACAUAUCUACAGGGUAGGCAACCGAAAUACAUAUUCAAUAAAUAACGUUGAAAGGUCCAUCAAACCGAAGCAUCAUUUACUACGAAUUGAUGUGCUUAGGAAAGAAACAACUGCCUUUAAAAUUCUGAGGUUAAACAGUUACUCUAACUGUUCUUUAGUUUCAUUUCCUCCCAGGAUGUACUGCUCUUUUUUAAAUAGGGCGUGUACUAGAAAUGAAGUUUAACGUAAGUCUGUUGUUUACAAUGUUAAGAGAGAGAGGGUAAGAGGGAAAAGGAGAGCUGAGAGAAUGCAGCCCACUUGCAAAACAGGCACCUGUUUCAGUAUGAAGCAGCAGGGAGAGGGAGAAUGAAGUGUGCUUUCCACUUCUUCAGGUCCUUUCCUUGAUGAAUGGUCUGGAAAUGUAUAAAACAAGGGCAUAGGCAGACCAAGGGGGCACGUUCCACACAAUACUGAGCACAGCAUGUCACUUGUAUCACAUAUUAAACAUCGGUGAAUAUCUUUUUGAUGUUGACACAAGAGUUGGGAUUAUUGUUCGUGGUGCAGGUGGCAGUGGAAUUGCCCGUUUUGAAAGGGGUCUGGGGGAAAGCGCUAUGGUUCAUACCCCCCUCUUCGAUCACCAUAUACUCCGACUUACUCAGAGUCGAGUUACUCCUUGCUUUUCGGAGCUCCUCGGCUGAAGAGGAGAGGUGCUGGCAACUUCCCACGUGCAUGUACUGGGAUUGCUCUUCCCCUUCUGUCUCCCGGUGGUAGAAGUAAUUGAAGUUGGAAACAAUCACGGGAACUGGCAAUGCGAUGGUCAAGACACCGGCGAUGGCACAGAGAGAUCCCACAAUCUUGCCCCCUAUGGUCACUGGGUGCAUAUCGCCGUAACCCACUGUUGUCAUGGUUACCACUGCCCACCAGAAGGCAUCCGGGAUGCUGCUGAAACCUGAAGUGGGGUCGUCUGCCUCGGCAAAGUAGACCGCGCUGGAGAAAAGGAUGACCCCAAUAAAGAGGAAGAAGAUGAGCAAUCCCAGCUCCCGCAUGGACGCCUUCAGCGUUUGCCCGAGGAUCUGCAGCCCCUUGGAGUGGCGCGACAGCUUGAAGAUGCGGAAGACCCUUACCAGGCGGAUGACCCUCAGGAUGGCCAGAGACAUGGCCUGCUGUCCAUUGCCCUGUCGUUCGGCCAGCUCGGUACCCAGAGUGAUAAAAUAAGGAAUGAUGGCCACAAUGUCGAUCAGGUUCAUGAUGUUUCGCGAGAAGGUGGCUUUGCUAGGACAAGCGAAGAACCGCACCAGCAGUUCGAAGGAGAACCAGAUGAUGCACAGCGUCUCCACCACGAAGAAGGGAUCGGAGAAGCUGGAGGCUCCUGCGCGGGACCCCGACGUGCUGUUGCCGGCUGCUUCGAAUGAGUCCUGCGACGUCGAGGCGGGGUAGUCCUUCUCGUCGCGGAACUCCGGCAGCGUCUCCAGGCAGAAGAUGACAAUGGAGAUGAGGAUGACCAGCACGGACACGAUGGCGAUGCCCCGGGCCGGCCCGGAGCUCUCGGGGUACUCGAAGAGCAGCCACACCUGGCGCUGGAAGUCGCGGCGGGGCAAGGGCCGCUCCUCCUCCCGCAGGAAGCCCUCGUCCUCGCGGAACUUCUCCAUGGCCUCCUCGCCCAGCUGGUAGAAGCGGAUCUCCUCGGAGAAAAUGUCGAUGGGCACGUUGACCGGCCGGCGGAUGCGGCCCCCGGACUGAUAGUAGUAGAGGAUGGCGUCGAAGCUGGGCCGGUUGCGGUCGAAGAAGUACUCGUUGCGGAGCGGGUCGAAGUACCUCAUGCGCCGCUUGGGGUCGCCCAGCAGCGUCUCGGGGAACUGGCAAAGGGUCUUCAGCUGCGUCUCGAAGCGCAGCCCGGAGAUGUUGAUGACCACGCGCUCCCCGCAGCAGUCCUGCUCGCCCGCGGCCGGCAGUGAGGGCGGCAGCGGCUCGUAGCG
RNAcentral lists this long non-coding RNA (2249 nucleotides) under Homo sapiens (human). RNAcentral's name for it is "HSALNT0294643". The record is from RNAcentral. Lineage: Eukaryota; Metazoa; Chordata; Mammalia; Primates; Hominidae.